GGCCCCGUGGUCAAGAGGUUAAGACGCAAGCCUCUCACGCUUGAAUCAGGGGUUCGAUUCCCCUCGGGGUCA
This 72-nucleotide transfer RNA is filed under the name Candidatus Bariatricus faecipullorum. Its description in RNAcentral is "tRNA-Glu". It matches the Rfam family "tRNA". From Rfam's summary of the family: Transfer RNA (tRNA) molecules are approximately 80 nucleotides in length. Their secondary structure includes four short double-helical elements and three loops (D, anti-codon, and T loops). The record is from RNAcentral. Lineage: Bacteria; Bacillati; Bacillota; Clostridia; Lachnospirales; Lachnospiraceae.